UGAAGUUUUGUAUCUUUUAACAGAAUCUAAGGUUUUGUUGAGUAAAAGAGAUUUCCAAACUCUUGGACCCAUUCUGACCCCAAGGAAGUGAAAGGAGCCAUUUUUCAGGAGUUUGGAUGGUGGCAGCAAUAUUUUUGACAGUCUGGCCCACAGCCAUACUAAUUUACUAAUUCUUCUGCUGACAUGGCCCUGAGUUUUGAGUUUGUUUGGGUAUCAGGGCAAGUAUUCCCAGGGCUUGCUUCAUGAUUGGUCUAAGCAACUGUGUUCAUCUCAUUCCCCUUUCCAGUAAUCGUUUUAGUCAUAGUUACAUGACCCAAUUCUGGCCAUGGGGACAUGAGGAAUUCAGCAGGGAAGCUUUUAGAAAAGAUUUUUUCUCUCAGAUUUAAAAAUAAAAAAAUACACGGAAGGAGAAGUUGUUUUAGUCCUUCCUACUUUCAGUACUAUCAUGUGAGGAUGUGAUUCAUGGAACUGCUGCAGCUUUCUUGUGAACAUGAGGGAAACUAAGAAGUUCAGCCAGGGUCCUGACAUUGGUGAGCUACAGAAACAGCUUUGGGUAAGUAUUCUUCCGGACUUUGUAUGUGAGAUUGCUAAUUAGCCCUAUUGUUUAAGCCAACUUUAGUUGGGUAUUCUGCUACUUGCAGCCAAAAGCAUCCUAACUGAUGUGAUUACUAUGUGUGUUUUGUUCACCACCAAUGCCUAGCAUGGGGUCUGGCAUAUAGCUAGAAGCUCAAUAAUUGUUUUAUGAAUUAGCGAACGAUAGCACUGUUCAAUCUUACUGCUGGGUCUACUCUGGCUAUGCUCUGGCUCUGGUAGAGAAGUUCUGGAGAGGUCCCAGGAGUCUAUCUGAUCCUGGGUUACCUGCCUGGAGUCCCAGCACUUGGCUGCUGGGUCUUUUUUGGUUCUUGACAGGUUUUCCAGGGUUGGAGUUACGCCCCUGGCCAGUGGUGACUCAUAGUUCUCCCUGACACCAACCUCUGCCCAGACUGUAGAAGGACAACUUGCAUAUCUUCUGUUGCUGAGUUCCUUCUGGAGAGAAACUACAUGUUACCUUCUGUUGAGCUGCCUUGCCAUAGACCUCCUGCCUCGAUUGCCAGAAAAGGAAAGGAAGAAUUUACAUUCUGCCUCAUGGGCCAACCAGAGACCUGAACUCAGAAUCUUGCCUUCUGGGUGUAUGUCCUUCUUUUUGCCAUAUCCAAGUUCUUUCCAUUUCUGCUUGGAGAGACCUGCUGAAAUCACACUUGAGGGAGGCAUUGUGACUCUCCCUGACCAGAAUCACCCAUGAAGCUGGAUUAUGAGCUCCCAUGAAACCAGACUCAUCACUCAAACUGAAACUUGGUUGUGACCCCAGACAGCAUUUCCCAGCAUGAUCACCCAACCUACUCAGCAGACUGCUCCAAAUGGCUUAGAACUGUUUUCAAAACUCACAUCCUCCAUCUGAGGAUACAUGCUGUCAGGGUUAUCUUUCUAAAACACAUCUCAGAUCAUGUGCUUCAGUGGUUCUCAGUUGCAUAGAUAAUUAAGUCUCAACUUCUCAGCCUGAUUUUCAAAACUUUAUUAUACAACUCCCACUCAGCCUUCCAGUUCUGUCAUCGACCAGCAGUCUCCCAUGAACACACGACGACCUUUCUAGUUACCAAUGAAAAGUACCAUUUACUGAGCUCUUAUUAUGUGCCCCACACUGCACUAAGAGCUUUAAACAAUAUCUCAUUUUAUCCUUAUAGGAUUUUGUAGGAUAAAUAUUAUCUCUGUAGUACAAAUAAUAAAACAAUGAUUGCUAGCUCUUUUUAUAGUGCUUACAAUGUGCUAAGGCGUUGUUCUAUAGAAAUAUGUGUGCCACAUAUGUAAUUUUACAUUUUUCGUAGCCACAUUAAAAAGUCAAAAGAAAUAAGUGAAGCUGAUUUUAAUAAAAUAUUUUGUCAGGGAGCAUGUAAUUAACAUAAGACAUCAUUAAUGAGAUAUUCCACAUUUUCUUUCUUUUUUUAUUUUUUGAUACUAAGUCAUUAAAAUCUGGUGUGUAUUUUACACCUAUUACAUAUCUCAAUUUGGAUGCUAAAUUUUCAUUGGAAACAUUUGAAUUCCAAUGAAAUCAACAAAAUAAAUACUAUGUUUAUAUUUUAUAAAAUGUACAGUAAAAAAAUGUAGAUUACAUACCCAAGUUGUUAUGAACAUAUCUGCAUAUCUGGAAGAUUUCUAACAUCUGAAUCAAGUACCAAAAAGUCAUUUCCUUUUCUAUUCUCAUCUAAAUUGUUAAAAUUGCUUGAAUUUAACAUUUUUAAUUUCACUUUCAAUCAAUUAAAAUAGAGUUAAAAUUUUAAUUUCUAACGUUGCCCUAGCCACAUUUCAAGCCUCAGUAGCCACAUGUGGCUGUGGCUGCCGUGCUGGACAGCAUAGGUCUAAGCACUUUACUACUGUGAGGUAGGUGCUGUUAUUAUCUUCACUUCAUUCUCAGCAAACUAACAAAAGAACAGAAAACCAAACGCCGCAUGUUCUCACCACAUUGUUCA
Cercocebus atys (sooty mangabey) is the source of this 2504-nucleotide long non-coding RNA. RefSeq lists it as uncharacterized. The transcript is spliced from 3 exons. Lineage: Eukaryota; Metazoa; Chordata; Mammalia; Primates; Cercopithecidae. The record is from RefSeq and is a predicted model, not a curated record.